AUCUUCGGCAAUGGGGGAAACCCUGACCGAGCAACGCCGCGUGAGUGAGGAAGGUCUUCGGAUCGUAAAGCUCUGUUGCCAGGGAAGAACGCCUGGGGGAUGGAAUGCCCCCAGGGUGACGGUACCUGAGAAGAAAGCCCCGGCUAACUACGUGCCAGCAGCCGCGGUAAUACGUAGGGGGCAAGCGUUGUCCGGAAUUAUUGGGCGUAAAGCGCGCGCAGGCGGUCCUUUAAGUCUUGUGUUUAAUGUCAGGGCUCAACCCUGAUUCGCAUGGGAAACUGGGGGACUGGAGUGCAGGAGAGGAAAGUGGAAUUCCACGUGUAGCGGUGAAAUGCGUAGAGAUGUGGAGGAACACCAGUGGCGAAGGCGACUUUCUGGCCUGUAACUGACGCUGAGGCGCGAAAGCGUGGGGAGCAAACAGG
RNAcentral lists this ribosomal RNA (422 nucleotides) under uncultured bacterium. Its description in RNAcentral is "bacterial SSU rRNA". It matches the Rfam family "Bacterial small subunit ribosomal RNA", at positions 361 to 776 of the family's 1533-position model. The record is from RNAcentral.